RNAcentral lists this ribosomal RNA (314 nucleotides) under uncultured bacterium. RNAcentral describes it as "partial 16S ribosomal RNA". It matches the Rfam family "Bacterial small subunit ribosomal RNA", at positions 495 to 807 of the family's 1533-position model. The record is from RNAcentral.
GUAUAAGAGACAGCAGCCGCCGCGGGAAUACAGAGGGUGCGAGCGUUAAUCGGAUUUACUGGGCGUAAAGCGUGCGUAGGCGGCUUCUUAAGUCGGAUGUGAAAUCCCUGAGCUUAACUUAGGAAUUGCAUUCGAUACUGGGAAGCUAGAGUAUGGGAGAGGAUGGUAGAAUUCCAGGUGUAGCGGUGAAAUGCGUAGAGAUCUGGAGGAAUACCGAUGGCGAAGGCAGCCAUCUGGCCUAAUACUGACGCUGAGGUACGAAAGCAUGGGGAGCAAACAGGAUUAGAUACCCGCGUAGUCCCUGUCUCUUAUAC